AUUGAACGCUGGCGGAAUGCUUUACACAUGCAAGUCGAACGGCAGCACGGACUUCGGUCUGGUGGCGAGUGGCGAACGGGUGAGUAAUGUAUCGGAACGUGCCCAGUCGUGGGGGAUAACGUAGUGAAAAUUACGCUAAUACCGCAUACGAUCUAUGGAUGAAAGCGGGGGAUCGCAAGACCUCGCGCGAUUGGAGCGGCCGAUAUCAGAUUAGGUGGUUGGUGGGGUAAAGGCCCACCAAGCCAACGAUCUGUAGCUGGUCUGAGAGGACGACCAGCCACACUGGAACUGAGACACGGUCCAGACUCCUACGGGAGGCAGCAGUGGGGAAUUUUGGACAAUGGGCGAAAGCCUGAUCCAGCCAUUCCGCGUGCAGGAUGAAGGCCCUCGGGUUGUAAACUGCUUUUGUACAGAACGAAAAGGUUUCUACUAGUACUAGGAGCUCAUGACGGUACUGUAAGAAUAAGCACCGGCUAACUACGUGCCAGCAGCCGCGGUAA
Molecule: ribosomal RNA, 500 nt
Filed under: uncultured bacterium
Lineage: Bacteria
Description: partial 16S ribosomal RNA
Rfam family: Bacterial small subunit ribosomal RNA
Source: RNAcentral